GCCGGCGGCGUUGUGCGGUCGGGGGCCGGCCGGCGGGAGGGUAGGGGCCCGGCAGCCGCCCGGAGCGCCGCCGCCAUGCCCGCCUUCCGGCAGGUGGGGGAGAAGCAGCUGCCCCAGGAGGUCGUCUUCAUGGCCUGGUCCCCCAAAAGGGACCUCAUCGCCCUGGCCAACAGAGCGGGGGAGGUUUUACUUCAUCGGCUUGCAAACUUUCAAAGAGUGUGGAGCUUGCCUCCAAACGAAAAUACAGGAAAAGAAGUGACUGCUCUUGCUUGGAGACCAGAUGGCAAAAUUUUGGCUUUUGGCCUUACUGAUACCAAGCGGAUUAUUCUGUGUGAUGUAGAAAAACCUGAAAGUUUGCACUCCUUCUCUGUGGACUCGUCUAUUACAUACAUGCAUUGGAUGGAAGUAACUGAGGAAAGCAGUGUUCUCACUUCCUUUUACAAUGCUGAGGAUGAAUCAAAUCUCCUUUUGCCUAAAUUACCAGCGCUACCAAAAAAUUACAGUACCACUGCAAAAAUUUUCAGUGAAGAAAAGUCAGAUGAGAUUAUGAAGCUUCUGGGUGAUGUAAGGCUUAAUGCUCUUGUCCUUGGUGGAAGUUCAGGAUUUAUUGAGAUUUAUGCUUAUGGAAUGUUCAAGAUUGCUACAGUAACUGGGGUGGCAGGUUCUUGUCGUGGACUAUGUUUGUCUAGUGAUUUGAAAUCACUAUCGGUUAUUACAGAGAUACGAGACUCUUCAGACAGCGAAGCAGAGAUAACAUAUUUUCAGCUGGACACUAGUCUAUUAUCCAGUUACUUGCCUGAGGUAACUCGAAUGGCCCGGAAGUUUACUCACAUUUCAACUCUGUUACAGUAUAUAAAGUUGUCAUUGACGUGCAUGUGUGAAGCAUGGGAAGAAAUAUUGAUGCAGAUGGACUCAAGACUAACAAAGUUUGUACAGGAAAAGAAUACAACCACUUCUGUUCAGGAUGAGUUUAUGCAGCUGUUGUUAUGGGGCAAAGCAAGUCUGGAACUUCAGGCGUUACUAAUGAACCAACUGACAGUAAAGGGUUUAAAAAAACUUGGUCAAUCCAUAGAGUCUUCCUAUUCCAGUAUACAAAAGUUGGUCAUAAGUCAUUUGCAGAGUGGUUCCGAGGCACUGUUAUACCACUUGAGUGAAUUGAAAGGAAUGGCUUUAUGGAAACAAAAAUACGAGUCUCUGGGAUUAGAUGCAUCUGGAAUUGAAGAGGCUAUUACUGCUGUUGGUUCUUUCAUCCUGAAAGCAAAUGAGCUGCUUCAAGUUAUCGACAGUAGUAUGAAAAACUUCAAAGCAUUUUUUCGAUGGCUGUAUGUUGCCAUGUUGAGGAUGUCAGAAGAUCAUGUGCUUCCAGAACUGAACAAGGUAAUGACUCAAAAAGAUAUCACGUUUGUUGCUGAUUUUCUUACUGAACACUUCAAUGAGGCACCAGAACUUUACAAUCGUAAAGGAAAAUACUUCAAUGUGGAGAGAGUUGGCCAGUACUUGAAAGAUGAAGAUGAUGACCUUGUAUCACCACCUAAUACAGAGGGAAACCAGUGGUUUAACUUUCUUAAAAAUAGUACUCAUCUUAAAGAAAGUCCACUUCUGUUUCCCUACUAUCCUGAGAAAUCACUGCAUUUUGUCAAAAGGCAAAUGGAGGGGGUCAUUGAUCAGUGUUUACAAAAGCCAGCGGAUGUAAUUGGAAAGUCAGUGCAUCAAGCAGUCUCCAUGUCUCUCUACAAAACUUCUCAAAGUGAAGAUUCCACACCUCAAUUAUUUAAACUACCAUUUCUGUGGAAUGACAAAACAUCCAAUAUACAUUACGUUCUCUUCACCAUAUUAGAAAAUUCUAUUUCUAAAAUACACAUUUUGAGGAGACAUACUGAUACUUCCAGGUCUGUCAGUAAUGGAAUUCUUGCAGUAGAGUUUGGAAACUUCUUGAACAGCAGUGUAAAUGAGAGCUCAGACUCCAGAUGCUACAGUUGUUUAGAUGCACACUUCUAUGAUGAUGAAACUGUAACUGUAGUUCUGAAGGAGAGUGUGGAACAAGAGGGGAAGGAGAGAGUCUUGGCUCAGCUGCCUUUAUCAUCAGUAUACACAGAUGAGGACCAAGAUAAGGAAUUAAUCUGGGAUUCUACUAAAAGGCUGGAUGAGCAAAGUGGUGAGAUAUCCACACGUACUGUUUUCUUGGAGAAUCAGUGGAGAGUGCUGGAGAAUAUGAAAGCUCAGUAUGUUUCUGUAAAUGGCAUUAGAAAAGUUUCCUGUGUGCUAAGUUCAAAUCUCCGUCAUGUGAGGGUGUUUGAGAUGGAUGUAGAGGAUGAUGGGGAAGUUGAGGAAGAAGAGGAAGAAGAAACAACUCAGAUUGCAGCUGGGGAACCUGAUGAGCUAAAUCAGUCUGCAGAUAACCAGGACAAUGUGUGUGGUGCAUCUGCUGAAGAACUACCUGACGAAACUGAAGAACACGAAUCAAGUCUGGAUCCUUGACAUAGGCUUUUAUACUGGAAAUAAUUUGGAAGCACUGAGAAGAAUAGAUAAGUGAGAACAUCCAUGAGAAAUGAAGUCAGCAGUAGUCCUGAACGGAGCAGGCACCUUUCAGAGGCAUGAGCUGUGUGACUUGGCACCGGAUGAAGGCUGUGCCAGCUGUUCUGCAUGACACACUAAAUAAAAUUUCUCUGCUGUCAGUCACACUGUAUUGCUGGGAUCUACAAACCAGACACAGCAUCAGCAAGUUAUGCCCUGAACCUCCAGGUCUGUGAACUUUCUUUCCUUCUGGCCGGUUGUAAAGUCUUUGCGGAGGAUGAGAUCCGCACGUCUCACCCUGUCCAUUAGAGCUGGUGAACGUUUCUGCAUGGCAAAAAAUUACAGCACAGCUGGAUUUGCUGCUGGCCGAGAGCGAGGACCAGAUGACACAUUAACAACUGCGGCUGUGCAGAGAGCACCUUAGCCCUCGUCCCCCUUUCCCUCCCUCCGUGCACGCCUGUCCUUGCAAACCACAACCAAGCUGUCAGAUGCUUAGCGGCACCGCCGUGCCGUUCCCCGGCCCUGCCCGCUCUUCCUCACGGCCGAGCUGUGAACCCCCGGCUUGUUCCCAGAGGAUGGUCAGUCCACCUUUGCAGGCACUGGCAUGUUACGCCGGGACAGCUGUGUGGGGCGAGCAGCCCCAACGCGCUGGGUUGCUCCUGCAUCCCCCGGAGCAGCAGCCGCCCGCUGCACCUGAAGCGGUGUGAGCCCUGCAACUGCUCCCGUCUGCAGCCAGUUCACCCCUUCUGCCAGCACGGGAGAGCUGCGGGCUGCUGCGGUCAGGCUGCCCUGGGACCUGGUGCAGCAUGGCCGCCUGCCUGGGCGGCGGAGGAGGAAGGUCUUUGGUGGCGGGGUGCUCGGCACUGAUGGUGGUCUGGGGGUCCAGGUCAAAGCCGAGCAUCCCAGCAAGGGCUGUGGCUAGGGCAGGAAGGUUUCCACCAUUUCCUUACAGCUUGCGUAAGCCCAGGUAUUGUUUUACACGGCGGCAGCAUGAGCUGGGGUGCUGCGGGCAGCCUGACCGGUGGCCGAGAGGCCGCAGGGAGUCAGAGGGAACGGCCCCAUGGGUAGAGGCGAUGUGAUGCUGUCGCCUGACUGAAAGGUGGCACAUUUUGAACAACUCAGCAGAAAGUUUUUCAGCUUUCUCAAUUUGGCCACCCCAAUGUUCCUGUGCUUACUGGCAUGGAUAAAACUGCCACUAAACCACUCCUUUUAAGAAAGCACUUUCAAGUAGAGAAAGUUGUCAGAAAUGGUUGUUCAAAAUGGGCAUUUCCCUGUUGUCCCCUCCAAAGAACAAUUUUAAGCUCGGGACCGCUUUCAAUCAGGAAAGUUUAAAACUAAGAUGGCAGAAUAGAGACGUGUUGGUAUUUCAUGUAUGGUAUGGUAUCUGUCCCGGGCACCACUAACUUGUUCUUCACCAGGAAUUGCUCUUAACCAUUUAUACCUCUCUUAAUCUUACAUCUUCAACAUGCUGUAACAGACUAAUUCCCUUUAAUGUGAAAUGCGCUAUACACACCUCAGAUGUUAUUAUUAUACUAUUAUCAGACAUAAUUAGCCUUAUGUAUUUUGUUUACAGAAUACACCAAAGGUGCUGGAAACUGUUCUGUAUGCCUCCCGAACAGAUUGUGCUGGCUUUGCAUUAAUACCAUUUAUGGUCUGCUUUAAUCUUCAAAGUGCAAGACCAGUAGUUGCAUCUGCCACACAGUAAAUACUACACCUUUCAGAAAGUGGUGGGACUAAGAACAACAAGCAGCAGUAACUUUCCAGAGGAAAUAUCAGUAAGUCAGUAAAAGAGACACAGUGACAUGCUUGGUAUUACAAAUAAAUGGGUUGUAUGACCUA
Molecule: RNA transcript, 4353 nt
Organism: Aquila chrysaetos chrysaetos
Lineage: Eukaryota; Metazoa; Chordata; Aves; Accipitriformes; Accipitridae
Gene: ANAPC4
Gene name: anaphase promoting complex subunit 4
Exons: 31
Source: RefSeq, a predicted model, not a curated record